Non-coding RNA from Cinara cedri, 259 nucleotides. NCBI's taxonomy places the organism in Eukaryota, Metazoa, Arthropoda, Insecta, Hemiptera, Aphididae. The record is from the annotation of a GenBank genome assembly.
UGGCCCAAUCGUUCGGAUUCGCGUGUGUGCGCGGCGAUAAAUUUCCGAACACGCCGGCCGUCUAUAUAUUACGUGUUUUUGGCGAGUUAACAUUGUGCGUGUACCUACCGUUGAACGAACGGUAAAAAUCCGGAACCUGUGUUAGAAUUGAAAAACUGAUAAGAAAAUGUGUUAUCGGUAAAUAAUUUUACGUUUAUUAGUUUUACAAAGAUGUUUGUUUUUUUUAUUAGUCUUUUUUUUUUUUUUUAAAGAACACUUU